This is a long non-coding RNA of Caretta caretta (loggerhead turtle), 2908 nucleotides long. RefSeq lists it as uncharacterized. NCBI's taxonomy places the organism in Eukaryota, Metazoa, Chordata, Testudines, Cheloniidae. The record is from RefSeq and is a predicted model, not a curated record.
CAUAUUCAGAGCCUGGAGUUGCAGAAAAGGAGUGGUCUAGUGGUUACACCAAGGAAAAGGAAGCGAUUUACUGUGUUGUAACUGGAGUUGGAGAUGCGUGGUUGCUACGUGCAUUCCACUGUGGAUACGCAUGCGCUCCAUAGGCCUGGGGCUGGAGAAUUCUAGCAAUCAGUGUCUGUUGAUCUGAACCUGCAGCCCUGCUCUCCUUGUGCUCCGUCCUGAGGUUGUAAAGGGUGGUUCAGACUGACCGCCUACUCCAGUUCCUUCUCUACUGCGAAUCCAGUCAUAAUCCAAAGCAGAUGGGAAGGAAGUACGUAGUGGAACACACAUAGGGACCAUGCCUCUCUGAGAAUUUCGGUUACAACAAGGUAUGUAACUUUCCCUUCUUCUCUUGUGCUUGUCCCUCAGUGUAUUCCACUGUGGGUGACUGAAAAGCAGUGCUCAAAAAGGAGCAGGAUUGGAGGAUGCAUGUGGUACAGCUGCUUGUAGAACAACUGCCCCAAAGGUUGCAUCAGCAUAGGAGUCUUAGGCCAAGGCAUAAUGUCUUGUAAACAUGCAGAUGGAACUCCACAGAGCUGCCCUGAAAAUGUCAAGGAGUACCACCUGUUGAAGUGAUGCCACUGAGACGCAUUGUGCCCUUGUAAAGUGAGCCCUUACUUUGUGUGGGGCAGGGAGUUGUGCCAACUGGUCGAGCAAGAUACUACCAGAGAUCCACUUAGACUUUCUGGGAGUAUACAGCUUGACCUAGAAUUCAUUCUGCUACAGCAACAAACGGUCUAGGUAACUUUCUGAUCAGUUUUGUUCUCUGCAGACAAAAUGUCAAUGCUCACUGAAUGUUGAGGGAAUGAAGUCUCCUCUCCAUGCCUGAGAGGUGGGGCUUCAGGAAAAAAAAGACACAGAAAAAAGUGAAUUGACUUGUUUAUGUGAAAGUCUGAAAUUAACUUAGGAGUGAAUUAUUGGCAUAGCUGUAGUGAGACUUUGUCCUUAUGCAAUAUUGUUUAUGGUGGAUCAUAUACCUACCAUCCUGGCCAAUGUGUUGGCAAGGAGGAAUGCAACCUUCAUUGAACAGGUAAAGCAUAGAAUAUGUAGUUAGCAGUUCAAAAGGUGAUUUAGUGAGUGGCGAGAGAACUAAAUAUAGGUCCCAGUGAGGGGUUGGUUUCUUUACUGGCAGAAAGGUUCUGAUCAGGCCUUUCAAGAAUCUGGUUGUUACUGAGUGGGUAAAGGUUAAGUAACCAUCCAACGGUGGGGGACAUGCACUGACUGCUGCCAGGUAAAACUUCAGUGAACUGAAGAAAAAGACCUGAUGUCUUAAGCAUAAGGAGACGCUGUAGAAUAGUGGAAAUAUCCAUGAUCUCUGGAAAGAGAUGAUGAAAAAAAACAUUUCCACUUGGCCAAAUAGCAUUUCCUGGCAGAAUACUUUUGGCUAGUAAGAAUAGUUUGCACAAAUUCAGAGCAGGACGGUUCUAGGGUUGACACUCAUCAAAAUAUCAAGCUGUGAGAUCAUGUGCUUUGGGAUUGGGAUGCUGGACUCUGACAUUCACCUGGGUCAAGAGAGUUGUAAAGAACCGGACAUUGAUUGGCGGGCAGGAUGACAUUCGUAGGCAGCCUGGAAACUAGAAUUGCCUGGACCAUUUGUGGGGGCCAUGGGGCUCCAUGCAUUGCCCUGACCCCAAGCACUGGCUCUGCACUCCCACUGGCUGGGAAUUGGCCAAUGGGAGCUGGGGGGGGCAUUGCCUGCACGCCUCCACCUAGGAGUCGGAACUGCUGCUGGCUGUUUCCAGGGUGCAGCACAGUCCACGGUGCCAUGACAGACAGAAAGCCUGCCUCUGCACCCCAGCUGCGCCAUUGACCAAGAGCUGCCGAAGGGUGGACACCUCACAUCGCAUCUUCCCAGCUGACCAUGCCGGCUUUCUGCAGCAAACGCGCUCCCACCUGCAGUACAUCAGAGUUGUUGGAUCUGUAGGGACUGUGGGGAGAGGAAGCUGUGCAGUCGCAGCUCCGAUCCAGCCACAAAAACUUUGACACCGACAAGCAGACAGCUCGUGGCAUGGAUAAGAAAGGGCACAAAAGGGACAAAGCAGUGCCAUGCUAAGAUCAAGGAGCUGAGGCAGGUGUACCAGAAGGCAAGGGGGGCCAACCAUCUGUCUGGUGUAAUGCCAAAAACAUGCCACUUCUACAAGGGGCUGCACACCAUCCCCGGCAGCAACCCCACGUCCACCACCAAAAACCCCGCAGAUACUUCGAGGGUACUGGAGGCAGCCGAGUCAACCCCAAGGACGAAGCGGUGGAUGAGGAGGUUGAGCUGGAGGACGAGGUGAGACAGGCAACAGAUUCGUCUGGUGGCGUGGCAGCCAGGACCUCUUUUUGACUCCAGAGUUGUUUAGCCAGUUCCACCUCUGGCGUCCCUGAAGCUGGAGAGGAGAGCUCCGAUGUGCCCUUGAGGGCCAGCUCCACACCAGCACAAUGCCUCCAUCAGAUAAAGUAGUGAACGAGGAGGAAUAAGGAGGACAUAUUUCAUAAAGUGCUGCAAUCAUCAGAUCAGGCCGAUAGCGAGCAUGGAGAGACACAAUCGAAAUACUAGAAAUGAAUAGCCAGCAGAUGAUACAGGGCCAGGAGCAGAUAAUAACUUUCAUGUAGAACCAAACAGAGAUGCUGAGGUCCCUGAUUGCACUGCAGGGGGAACACGUGUGCUCGACUCCCCCUGUAGCCCAUACAGAACUGCCUUCCUUGCUCUCCCAAAACUUCCGACACACAUUCCUCUCACGUUCCUGGCCUGUCACAGUAACCCUUGUACUCCACCGCAGGGACAUUUUCCAUAAUGACUGCUGGACUUACACAGCUGUGAGAUCCUCACUUCAGAGAGUGCUGCUCACUGUCAUGUCCCUUGUAAGAAAUGUUAAUCUGUGUA